UUGGAGGGCAAGUCUGGUGCCAGCAGCCGCGGUAAUUCCAGCUCCAAUAGCGUAUAUUAAAGUUGUUGCAGUUAAAAAGCUCSUARUUGAAUUUCGGGGUUCCACCGUUGGUCGGGCUAAUGUUUGUACUGGCGUGUGGAAUUUCUACCUUCUGGGGAACUAUCAUGUUAUUAAUUUAGCGUGGUAGGAAACCAGGACCUUUACCUUGAAAAAA
RNAcentral lists this ribosomal RNA (214 nucleotides) under Glomeraceae sp. Its description in RNAcentral is "partial small subunit ribosomal RNA". It matches the Rfam family "Eukaryotic small subunit ribosomal RNA", at positions 550 to 776 of the family's 1831-position model. RNAcentral also lists the same sequence under 1 other name. Lineage: Eukaryota; Fungi; Glomeromycota; Glomeromycetes; Glomerales; Glomeraceae. The record is from RNAcentral.